RNAcentral lists this ribosomal RNA (441 nucleotides) under Streptococcus mitis. Its description in RNAcentral is "bacterial SSU rRNA". It matches the Rfam family "Bacterial small subunit ribosomal RNA", at positions 28 to 461 of the family's 1533-position model. The record is from RNAcentral. Lineage: Bacteria; Bacillati; Bacillota; Bacilli; Lactobacillales; Streptococcaceae.
GACGAACGCUGGCGGCGUGCCUAAUACAUGCAAGUAGAACGCUGAAGGAGGAGCUUGCUUCUCUGGAUGAGUUGCGAACGGGUGAGUAACGCGUAGGUAACCUGCCUGGUAGCGGGGGAUAACUAUUGGAAACGAUAGCUAAUACCGCAUAACAGUAGAUGUUGCAUGACAUUUGCUUAAAAGGUGCAAUUGCAUCACUACCAGAUGGACCUGCGUUGUAUUAGCUAGUUGGUGGGGUAACGGCUCACCAAGGUGACGAUACAUAGCCGACCUGAGAGGGUGAUCGGCCACACUGGGACUGAGACACGGCCCAGACUCCUACGGGAGGCAGCAGUAGGGAAUCUUCGGCAAUGGACGGAAGUCUGACCGAGCAACGCCGCGUGAGUGAAGAAGGUUUUCGGAUCGUAAAGCUCUGUUGUAAGAGAAGAACGAGUGUGAGAU